Molecule: long non-coding RNA, 307 nt
Filed under: Oryctolagus cuniculus (rabbit)
Lineage: Eukaryota; Metazoa; Chordata; Mammalia; Lagomorpha; Leporidae
Description: lncRNA (ENSOCUG00000034653.1)
Source: RNAcentral
CUUCGGACCUGCAGUACUGAGCCAGUGUUAAAGUACUGUUGCUUUCUAAGAGAGGAAGGAGAGGAAGAACAAAAGUGGUACCAACAUGGAAAGGAACUGAAAAGAUCCCGCCUCCGCUAUUCAGAGGUUGAGCAGCCAGUCUCAGAGAAACAAGAGGACAUAGCAUCUGGAGGAAGACUCUUUGGGGCUGAGAACUUAGCUGAAAACCUAGCGGAAGGCAAAAGACAAAGAGGCAGCUUUACCCUUAACGUGCGAAGCAAGGCUGAUGGGACAUUAUGGUAUCUCCUAGUUAUAAAACCCAACCAAU